GGGGGGGUGGGGGUAGCUCUAGUCCCAGUUCUGCCAAUUAUGAGUCACAUGAACCUCAGUUUCCCCAUCUGCAAAGCAGAGAUGCUAAUAAUACCACCUCACAAGUGUGCUGGUGGUGCAAUGGUUAAGCGCUUGGCUGCUAACUGAAAGAUCAGCUGUUUAAACCCACCAGCAUAAAGAUUGCAGCCUGGGAAACAUUAUGGGGCCGUCCAACUCUGUCAUAUAGGGUUGCUAUGAGUCAGAAUCAACUCAACGGCACACAACAACACAAGUGUCCUGGGCCUUGUGAAUGCUGGGGUCAUGAGAAGCACCUGUACACCGUGACUUCACUCCUAGAGCCACCCUGUGACCUGGAGGCAGGGAUGGGGACCCCUCUCACAGAUGGGGAGAUUGGGGCCCAGAGAGCUUCAGCCAUUGCUCAAGGUCACGGAGCUAGUAAACAGAAAAACUGAGGCUUGAACCCAAGUGGGUCACAUCUCAAAGCCCAAACCAUUAGGUAACACUGUCCCCCAAUCAGAAAAGAGGUGAUCCUGGCCAGGACCCCCCAACCUCUAUUUCACUACAUCUUGGGGCUAACCAUGGGAAAGGAACAGAGACCAUGUGGGGCCAGGGCAAAUGCUCUGAAAACUGUAGAGUGCUGUGGGAACCAAAGGAAACUUCACAGUCAUUUCCACCUCCUCUGAGUACUGGCCCCUCUGCUGGAUCAGACUCCUAAACUGUCUGGGAGACUCCUGGGAUCUAAGAGCUCCUCCGGCCCUCAGAUUGUUCCUCUCCUUCCCAGAAACCCUUAGUGAACAGGGGCCUCCCUCAGGCAUAGCCCCCACACCAGCCGGCCACCUGGUGCACAGGUCGGCCAGACCCACAGAGCCUUCCAGGAUCACCCACAAGAGGACACAGAAGAGCACUUCACAGGCCCCGUGCCAAACGAAGCACCGAGGUGUGGGCGGGGCAGGCCCAGGUUCCCGCCUGACCCGUGCAGGCCUGGGCUGGAAAUCCCCUCCAGUGCUCCAGUCUGGGAGCCGUUCCUGCCCCAUCUGCUCAGUCCUGGGAGGGAGAAAGAAUACUUUCAGGGGGCAACUAGCUUGUCUGUUCCUCCUCCACUCCUUCUUUUUUUUUUUUUCUCAGUCUAGCUUUGUCUCUGCCUCUGCAUGUCAGUUUCUCUCGGUCUCCAUCUCUCCCUGUCUCCAGCCCGCAGGCACAGACUUGCCUCCCUCCCGCGUGGCCCCCAAAGCCAAGUACAGCUUCUCGGCCGCUCCCCUUGCACCCUCUGGCUCCUCUUCCCGCAGCGCCCAGCCUCCUCCCUUCCUCAUCGCUGCACCGGGCAGGCCCUCGGCAGCUCGUGGGCAACGGGCACGGUUUGUUCCCCCCUUUCAGGCAGGCGCCGAGGCCCCGGCCCCUCCAGCUUCCUGCUCCCGCCUGGCUAGCGGAGAUGAGAGCCGGCUGCAGGGCUGGGAGCGAGGCAGUAGCACACAGAACAAACAGACUUUUUUUUUGCAACUAGAGGGGGAAGCACAGAGCUAAAAAUAAAACGAAAAGAUCAGUAUCUGUCAGUCUGACAGCUGAUUGGCUGCUUGGAGAUGCAUAUAAUUACCAGCAACUGGCGCUAGGUAGGCAAAGCCGGGAGAAACUGCUGAGACGAGCUCAAAAUGGACUCCUUUUGAAGCUGUAUUUGAAAUCCAGUUGACUUGUUCUUUGCUGAGGUGUUGUAGCCCACAAUUGUGGGGGCUUCUGCACUGGGGUCUCCAGCUCCUGCUACUCAGACAUUUGAGGAGCAGUUUUAAGAAGCCAUUGUACACCCUCCACCACCACCAUGUGCCUAAAGAUGACUUCAAAGUUGGAACAGAGAAGACAACUCCUGGCCGUUUUGGGCUCUGGGUCUGCACCACUUCUAAGAUGCUGCAGACAGGCAGCCCGUGGAGGUGAGAAGCUGCAAGUUGAAGUCAUCAGUUGACUGCAGAGCCUCCCGAAUCCACGGGACUUCAGAGCCCUCCCUUCAACCUCUACACUCUCCUGGCCAGUGUCUCCAAGGCCUCCAACCUCCUGUGGCCAUGGGGCAGAUGUAGGGAGGCAUGGUGGAGGGAAGGUGCUUCAUUCAAGGAGAAAGACAAGUAUCAGCCCAGACCCACGUGCACAUACUGGGCCAUGUCUGUGAAGGGAGCACUCCCCCUCCCCACAGACACACCCCACCCCAGCUAAGCCAGAAUCAGAAGGAAGCUGCAGAGCAGAGUGGAAGCCCCACGGAGAGACCCAGCUAGGUGCUCACUGACUCCAUUCCCAUAAUGCUCUCAGACUGCCGUGCUCCUGGUCUUGCAGAUUUUUACAAGAAAUUCAAGCCUGUCUGUGACUGGUUUCUACCAGGCUUCCCUUAAAUCCUGCAAACGUGAGUCCACACAUCCUCAAGGGCAGCUUUUGUAGGAACGUGGGAUGGGGAUGGAGGAGCAGGUGUUAAAUACUUGGGAUGUUGGACUUGGGCCCUUCCCACCAAGUGCCUCCCAGCGCAGCCUGGGUGGCUCAGUCUUGCCCACUGUGCUGCCUCCGGUCACCCUCAUCACCAACAAGGCUUGGGGGGGCGGGGGCAGCGCUCACUUCAUUUUAAAGAAAAUGUAAGAAAGCAGAUUCCACGGCUGAAAAAUAAUUGAGACAAGUGCUCCCCACUCCCUGUAACUCCAACUUCUAAACUAAUUUCUCUCUACUCUGCCACCAGAAAAGUCCCUCCUGCUGUUAUUUGCCCCAAGGCCCACGUUCGUCUAACAAGCAUACUUAAUUUGUUCGAUAAUAUAAGCUUUCUCGUUUUGGGUGAAUCAAGGGUUAUGAUGAUGCUUUGUUCAACUCCCAUCAGCCCUAGAGACCCUAAACAGGCACAGUGGGUUGAUACAAUCCUGUCAAAAACAAAGGAGCAAGAUGUUGUGUGAAGCCGCUGGCCCUCGGUAAGGGUGCAGUGACCAUCAGGGAUUUCCAGAGGCUGCGAUUAGUAGUGAUAGCAUGGAGCCCCCUGAGGGCCCCCAGGGAACCCAAGAUUGGGAACUACUGGGCUAAACCAGUUGGGAUGAAGGAGCAACUCUUUGAUAAUCACUGUGGCCAACCCAUUUCUCCAUCAAGGAAGUCCUCAAGCUGCAGGGCAUCCAGGGGGAGCUCAGUGGCUGUGGGGUUCCCUGACUUUGUGACUUACUGGCUGUGUGACCCUAGGCAGAUGGGUUCUUCUCUCUGUACCUCUGGGUUACAUUUCCUCCCUUCUGGGCUGUGAGUUCUCUGCAAUGAGGAUGUCUUUAUUGUUGCCACCACCACCUAUUCAGGUCUUCUGGCUUCCCACCCCAUCAGACCGUGAUUAUCUCACUGGAUUUCUGUGGUAGGAGAGACUUAGAGUGUAGAACAUGGAAAUGGGUAUCGGGAACCCAGGUGUGCUCUUGGAACCCCUGAGAUAUAAUGUCUGUGAUGGACAGACAGCCUGGGAGGGAAGCAAGGAGGGAAGGCAUGGCAGCCCAUUAAUGAACUAAAGGCACCCUGAGAUGGCAGCUCUGGGGUGCAUGCCAGCACUUCCCGUCUGUAAUGUACUGUGAAUCUCCUGGGAAUCAAGUUCAAAUGCAGAUUCUGAUUUAGGACACCUGGGGAGGGGCUCCCAGGCAAGGCAGACACUGGGCCAGCUGGGACCACACUCUGAAUAGCCACAGUGUAAGGGGUUCUCUGCCACCCCCCAGUGCCCAUACCUGGGCUUCUGGCCUAAGGGAUGAGGGUCAGCCACUUGGUGUUUGGAACUGAAGUUUCCAGAAAGGCCCUGAGAGCCCUGGUAUGCCCAUGUCGGGAAAGAUGAAGCAACAUGAGGGUAAAAUUGUGUUUUUAACCAAAUAAAGAUCACUGCCUUCUAGUAUGUAGAAAGAUAUAUGUUCCCACCCCCACACAGCCCCAGGGGCCCACAGGAAUGUGGUUUUCCAAGCAUAGCCUUCCCUUGCUGAAGGGGGCGGAUUUGCUCUUAAAAAGCUGCCUGUAAAAUGAAUUUUUCUGUUUCAAAUGCUAUUUUUCCAGUGGCGUAUGUUUUAAGACCAUAGCUGCAUUUCCACUGAGAAAUAUUCAACUCUAAGGCAUGGGUGUAUCAAACAUAAGGUGUAUGGAUAGUUCAAGGAUGCAGCAUGGCCCCACCCGUCACCAGACUACUGAGCUGAUAAGAAGCUGGUGUUACAGAGUUUGGGAUUCAAACUCUGAAUCUCAAAUGGUCUCUAAAUGGAGUCAGGUUCUGGUCAGAAAUGGCCCAGAGCCCUGAUCAAUACUACCAAUUCUAAGACUUGUGUGAACCAAGGGCAAACCAAUCCCACUACUGGAAAAGCAGUCCAGAGAGACUGUCCCAUCAUGGUAGGCUGGCCACCUUGUCUUUGUAUACUGAGCACCAAAGGUCACACUCUGAACAUUAGGCUGUGAAUUUUUGUUUUUAUAUUGGGCAUUAUCACUUAGAACAUUCCAGAGAUCUGCCACCAUGACAAUUUAGCUAUAUUUCCCAAAGAACACUCAGAGACUAGGACAUCAGAGUUCCGUGUUCAAAGACUCCUGAGAAAUACUGGAUUAAGAAACUUGAACAACUUUCCCCAGAAGGAAUACCAAGAAGCACUGAAAUCUUGAACAGGGUACUAGAGUCCAUGGUGCUGCCCACACUUGAUUGCCCAUGGUUUUUCCAGACCAUAGCCUGGGAUUAGUAUUCUAAGAAACACACUUUGGGAACCCUAUCAAUGAAAGGCCCUCGUAACUAAAAGACCUCUCCGAUUCCGUAUUAGUUACUUACUGAUGCAUAGCAAAUUACCCCAAACUUAAGUGGCUUAACGCAACAAGCAUUUGUUAGCUCAUGGUUUCUGAGGGUUAGGAAUUUGGAAGCAAUUAGUUGGAUGGUUCCCACUUGUGAUCUCUCUUCAGGUUGCAGUCAAGAUGCAACUGAGACUGCAGUCAUCUGACAGCUUGACUGAGGCUGGAGGAUCUGCUUCCAGAUGGUUCAUUCACAUGGCUGGCAAGGCAGUGGUGGCUGUUGAGAGGUGGCCUCAGCUCUUUACCACAUGGACCCCGCCACAGGCUGCAUGAGUGUCCUGACAACAUGGCGGCUAGGUUUCCCCAGAGUGAGUGAUCCAAGAGAGCAAGACUGAAGCUGCAGUGCCUUUUAUGACCUAGCCAUGGACUUUACAUGCAGUCAUUUCCUCAGUUUUCUGUUGGUUCCACAGAUCAUCCCUAUUCAUCAGGGGAAGAGGCUAUACAGUGUGUGAAUACCAGGAGGUGUCUUAGUCAUCUGGCCGAACUGCCAUCCAUGGACUUACUGAAUGUCUUAUCCACUGUCAUGGUAUCCCAUACAGUAUUGCCUUGGAUCAAGGAACUCACUUCACAGCAAAUGAAGUGUGGCAGGGGGCCCAUGCUCAUGGAAUUCAUUGGUCUUACUAUGUUCCCCAUCAUCCUGAAGCAGCUGGCUUAAUAGAACGAUGGAUUGGCCUCCUAAAGACAGUUAUGUCUCCAGCUAGGUGGCAAUACCUUGCAGGGUUGGAGUGAUGUUCUCCAGGAGGCUGUAUAUGCUCUAAACCAGCGUCCAAUAUAUGGUGCUGUUUCUCCCAUAGCCAGGAUUCACGGGUCCAGGAGUCAAGGGGUGGAAAUAGGAGUGGCACCACUCACUAUUACCACUAGUGACCCACUUGCAAGAUUUUUGCUUCCUGUCCCCACGACCUUAUGCUUUGCAGUUCUAGAGGCCUUAGUUCCAAUGGGAGGAAUGCUCCCACCUGGAGGCACACCACUGAUUCCAUUGAACUGGAAGCUAAGAAUGCCACCUGGCCACUUUGGGCUCCUUAUGCCUCUGGAUCAACAGGCAAAGAAGAGAGAUACCUUACUGACUGGUGUGAUUGAUCCUGAUUAUCAAGAGGAAAUCGGAUUGAUAUUACAUAAUGGAGGUAAAGAAGAGUAUGUCUGGAAUACAGGAGAUCCCUUAGGGCAUCUCUUAGUACUACCAUGCCCUGUGAUUAAAGUCAAUGGAAAGCUAUAUAACCCAAUUCCUACGUGGCUACUAAUGGCCCAGAUCCUUCAAGAAUGAAGGUUUGGGUCACCCCACCAAGCAAAGAACCAUGGCCAGGUGAGGUGCUUGCUGAGGGCAAAGGGAAUAUGGAAUGGGUGGUGGAAGAAGGUAGUUCUAAAUACCAGUUACGGCCACAUGACCAGUUGCAGAAACGAGGACUGUAAUUGUUAUGAGUAUUUCUGCUUUGUAUGUGUGUGUCAGGGAUUGAAUUAUGUCCCCCCAAAAAGGUGUGUAUCAACUUGGUUAAGCCAUGAUUCCCAGUAUUGUGUGAUUGUCCUCCAUUUUGUGAUUGUAAUUUUAUGUUGAGAGGAUUAGGAUGGGAUUGUAAUACCACCCUUACUCAGUUCACCUCACUGAUCCAAGGUAAAGGGAGUUUCCCUGGGGUGUAGCCUGCACCACCUCUUAUCUCUCAAGAAAUAAAAGGAAAGGGAAGCUAGCAGAGAAGGGGGGCCUCAUCCACCAAGAGAGCAGCACGGGGAGCAGAGUGCAUCCUUUGGACCUGGGGUCCCUGCGCCUGAAGAAGCUCCUCAACCAGGGGAAGGUUGAAGACAAGGAAUCUUCCUCCAGAGCCAACAGAGAGAGAAAGCCGUCUCCUGGAGCUGACUCCCUGAAUUUGGACUUAUAACCUACUAGACUGUGAGGAAAUAAAUUUCUUUUUGUUAAAACCAUCCACUUGUGGUAUUUCUCUUAUGGCAGCACUAGAUGACUAAGACAGUGUGCAUCAAAUAUUUUUGUUUUCUUCACUUAUAAAGUAUAAAAUGUGAACGGGGCUAGCACUUUUUCAGUUGUACUUGUGUUAGUUGUAUCAUGUUAGGUGCAAGUACGACUUUGUAAUUGUCUUUAUUCAGAGAUUAGGUAUGGUUUGGGGAGAUGUAUACAGAUGCCAAAUUGACAAGGGGUGGACUGUGAUGGUUAAGCUUGUAUGUUAACUUGGCUGGGCCAUGACUCUGUGUUUUGGCAGUUGCAUAAUGUUGUGAUCACUUCCCUGUUGAAAUCUGAUAUGCGAUCACCCCCCAUGACAAGAUUUGCUGAAUGGUACCAGUAGAGGCAGGGCCUAUGGUGGCUUACCACCCCCUCAGCCUUCAUCUCUAUGCUUUCCGCCACCUACUUCCUUCUUGCUCACCUUGCCAAGGUUUGUUUUUUUUUUUUUUUGGCUUGUUCUGGAUUCUGCAGCUGCCUCUUGUUCAUCUGACCUCCAGUUCUUGGGUCUGGAGCUAGCAGCUCACCUCCCAAUCUUGAGUUCUACAACCCUUGCAGCUACAUGAAUCAGGAGAAGCCUUGCGGUCUUGCCUGCUGAUCUUGUGACUCACCAACCUUCACAGCCUGCUCUCUGACCUGCCAGUCUUGGGUUCGCCAGUCCCUGCGGCUAUACACAAAUCAGGAGAAACCUCUAUCCUGAUCCACAGACUUCGGACAUUCCAGCCUCUAUAAUCUCAUGAGCUGUUUCCUUGAUAAAAAUCUCUCUCUGUGUAUAUAUUUAUACACUUUACUGGUUUUGCUUCUUUGAGAACCCAGCCUAAGACAGGAGGUGAGGAUUUUUUGGGGGCUAUCUCAGAGGCUUAUACCACAGUAAUCAUCACUUUAGUACAAGAACAGAUAACUUGCCUCAUUCACAUUGUUGGUUUCUAUGUGAUAUAUCGAAACUAUAUGUCGAAGUGAACCUGUUAACCUGGGAUGUGAAGGAAGGAGGAAGAGAACAGGAAUUUAUCACCUGCACUAAGCCCUGGUGAACAAUAGCAGAAAUAAUAAUAUAGUCCCACAGGCACCAUGUUGUUGUUGUUAAAAAAAAAAAAAAAAACCAAACCCAUUGC
Long non-coding RNA from Loxodonta africana (African savanna elephant), 7839 nucleotides. RefSeq lists it as uncharacterized. Lineage: Eukaryota; Metazoa; Chordata; Mammalia; Proboscidea; Elephantidae. The record is from RefSeq and is a predicted model, not a curated record. The transcript is spliced from 2 exons.